CCUACGGGCGGCAGCAGUGGGGAAUAUUGGACAAUGGGCGAAAGCCUGAUCCAGCCAUGCCGCGUGUGUGAAGAAGGCCUUCGGGUUGUAAAGCACUUUCAGUGGGGAAGAAAGCCUUGGGGCUAAUACCCUCGAGGAAGGACAUCACCCACAGAAGAAGCACCGGCUAACUCCGUGCCAGCAGCCGCGGUAAUACGGAGGGGUGCGAGCGUUAAUCGGAAUUACUGGGCGUAAAGCGCGCGUAGGCGGUCUGAUAAGCCGGUUGUGAAAGCCCCGGGCUCAACCUGGGAACGGCAUCCGGAACUGUCAGGCUAGAGUGCAGGAGAGGAAGGUAGAAUUCCCGGUGUAGCGGUGAAAUGCGUAGAGAUCGGGAGGAAUACCAGUGGCGAAGGCGGCCUUCUGGACUGACACUGACGCUGAGGUGCGAAAGCGUGGGUAGCAAACAGGAUUAGAUACCCGAGUAGUC
RNAcentral lists this ribosomal RNA (466 nucleotides) under Vreelandella stevensii. RNAcentral describes it as "partial 16S ribosomal RNA". It matches the Rfam family "Bacterial small subunit ribosomal RNA", at positions 338 to 795 of the family's 1533-position model. Lineage: Bacteria; Pseudomonadati; Pseudomonadota; Gammaproteobacteria; Oceanospirillales; Halomonadaceae. The record is from RNAcentral.